Molecule: long non-coding RNA, 533 nt
Organism: Daphnia pulicaria
Lineage: Eukaryota; Metazoa; Arthropoda; Branchiopoda; Diplostraca; Daphniidae
Exons: 2
Source: RefSeq, a predicted model, not a curated record
GAUUACGUAUGCUGCCCCAUCCUACUACACCGAGGCUCCUAAUUGCUACACCAAGGCUCCCGCUUAUAACUCCACCAAAACGGUCGAGUACUACACCGAAGAGGCAAAGUACUUCUCUGCCCCGAUCUACACAACCACAACUGAGGCGGCCAAGUAUUACGCAGUCCCGACUUGCUAAACAGAAGAUGCUCUUUCGUGAUACGUUGAUCUAAAACACUACACUGAUGAGCACUCCAGUUUACUACACCAAGACCUACGCUACACCUAGCUACAACAGCGCAGCCCCCAAGUACUACACCGAAGAAGCCGCCUAUUACACAACCACGUACGCUGCCUGGUAUACUACAUCGGAAUUUAAGUAUUACCCUGCUCCAAACUACUACAAAACUGAGGUUCAUAUGUAUUACACCAGCAAUUCUCCCGACUAUGUCCCCACUACUUAUGUUGCUCCGACCUGUACACCAAAGUUCUGAAGUAUUUCUCUGGAUGUGUUGAAAGAUUGCUGAAAUACAAGAUUGAUCGAUAAAUCACAA